RNAcentral lists this transfer RNA (63 nucleotides) under Globospongicola spinulatus. RNAcentral describes it as "tRNA-Thr". It matches the Rfam family "tRNA". From Rfam's summary of the family: Transfer RNA (tRNA) molecules are approximately 80 nucleotides in length. Their secondary structure includes four short double-helical elements and three loops (D, anti-codon, and T loops). The record is from RNAcentral. Lineage: Eukaryota; Metazoa; Arthropoda; Malacostraca; Decapoda; Spongicolidae.
GUUUCAAUAGUUUAAUAAAAACAUUAGUCUUGUAAACUGAAAAUAAAUUUACUUUUUAAAACA